GAAAGUCUUGUUUGUACCAUGUCAGCAAGGCACACUCCCACCACAAAUAAAAGGAGUGAGAGGACUUCAGAUUACUCUUUUCUCCAAGUCUGCUUUCCUCCUCUUUGCAGAUACAGAUG
This 119-nucleotide long non-coding RNA is filed under the name Capra hircus (goat). RNAcentral's name for it is "lncRNA (ENSCHIG00000007082.1)". Lineage: Eukaryota; Metazoa; Chordata; Mammalia; Artiodactyla; Bovidae. The record is from RNAcentral.